GACCUUGGGUAGGCCACAUGGUAACUCCAAUACGUUUUGUCUGUUAUGAUUGCUUAACUUUUGAAAUGAACCGAAAUCUUUUUGUAAUGAAACCACAUGUAAUGCCAAGGGAAAUAAAGGAAUUCUAGAAAGAACCAUAUCAUCAAGAGUGUAACUUAGUAACUUUUAGAAUGAAAUUUUCUAAAUGAAAUAGGAGAGUUGUAACACCCUUCCCCCCCC
Molecule: long non-coding RNA, 219 nt
Filed under: Gossypium raimondii (Peruvian cotton)
Lineage: Eukaryota; Viridiplantae; Streptophyta; Magnoliopsida; Malvales; Malvaceae
Description: long non-coding RNA (GRAI_LNC002121)
Source: RNAcentral